UUGGGUUGUAGCUCAGUGAUAGAGUGCUUGCUUUGCAUGCGUGGGGCCCUGGGUUUGAUCCUCAGUACCAAA
This 72-nucleotide transfer RNA is filed under the name Marmota monax (woodchuck). RNAcentral's name for it is "tRNA.Ala". Lineage: Eukaryota; Metazoa; Chordata; Mammalia; Rodentia; Sciuridae. The record is from RNAcentral.